Molecule: ribosomal RNA, 888 nt
Filed under: Hirsutella thompsonii
Lineage: Eukaryota; Fungi; Ascomycota; Sordariomycetes; Hypocreales; Ophiocordycipitaceae
Description: partial large subunit ribosomal RNA
Source: RNAcentral
AACCAGCUACUAGAAGGUUCGAUUAGUCUUUCGCCCCCAUGCCCAUAUUUGACGAUCGAUUUNNNNNNNNNNNNNNNUGCGAGCCUCCACCAGAGUUUCCUCUGGCUUCACCCUAUACAGGCAUAGUUCACCNUCUUUCGGGUCCGGCCCCGUAUGCUCUUACUCAAAUCCAUCCGAGAACAUCAGGAUCGGUCGAUGAUGCGCCGAAGCUCUCACCUGCGUUCACUUUCAUUACGCGUAGGGGUUUGACACCCGAACACUCGCAUACGAAGACGACUCCUUGGUCCGUGUUUCAAGACGGGUCGCUGGUGACCAUUACGCCAGCAUUGCNGGANNNGCGUACCUCGGUCCGCAGCGGGGCAUUGCGCGACGGGCUAUAACACUCCCCGAGAGGAGCCACGUUCCCGACGCCUUUAUCCCCCGCCGCGAACCGAUGCUGGCCUGGNNGCACGGCGGAGUGCACCGGCGAGAACGCCGGAUGAUCCNNCGCNCUCAAGUCUGGUCACAAGCGCUUCCCUUUCAACAAUUUCACGUACUGUUUAACCCUCUUUUCAAAGUGCUUUUCAUCUUUCGAUCACUCUACUUGUGCGCUAUCGGUCUCUGGCCAAUAUUUGACUUUAGAAGACAUAUACCUCCCAUUUAGAGCAGCAUUCCCAAACUACUCGACUCGUCGAAGGAGCUUUACACUGGCUUGGCGUCCGACCAGACGGGGCUCUCACCCUCUAUGGCGUCCCGUUCCAGGGAACUCGGAAGGCGCCGCGCCAAAANCAUCCUCUGCAAAUUACAACUCGGGCCCUGGGGGNNNCCAGAUUUCAAAUUUGAGCUGUUGCCGCUUCACUCGCCGUUACUGGGGCAAUCCCUGUUGGUUUCUUUUCCNCCGCUUAUUGA